ACGGCGUAGGAAAACAUAGGAACGUACCCUCUGGCCGGGGAUAGCUACGGGAAACUGUAGGUAAUACCCGAUGAUCUCUGCGGAGCAAAGGUGUGAUUCCGCCGGAGGAGCGGCUUAUGCGAUAUUAGCUAGUUGGUGGGGUAAUGGCCCACCAAGGCGAAGAUGUCUAGGGGGUGUGAGAGCAUGGCCCCCACGACCGGAACUGAGACACUGUCCGGACACCUACGGGUGGCUGCAGUCGAGAAUCUUCCGCAAUGGACGAAAGUCUGACGGAGCGACGCCGCGUGCGGGAUGAAGGCCCUUGGGUUGUAAACCGCUUUCGGAGGGGAUGAAAUCUCUGAGGGUACUCCCUCAGAGUUGACAGAGCCUCAAAAGAAGCACGGGCUAAGUACGUGCCAGCAGCCGCGGUAACACGUACUGUGCGAACGUUAUUCGGAAUCACUGGGCUUAAAGGGUGCGUAGGCGGCAAUCCAAGUCAGAUGUGAAAUGCCUGAGCUUAACUGAGGCACUGCGUUUGAAACUGGACUGCUUGAGUAUUUCAGGGGUGUGCGGAACUGCCAGUGGAGCGGUGAAAUGUGUUGA
RNAcentral lists this ribosomal RNA (582 nucleotides) under uncultured bacterium. RNAcentral's name for it is "bacterial SSU rRNA". It matches the Rfam family "Bacterial small subunit ribosomal RNA", at positions 102 to 694 of the family's 1533-position model. The record is from RNAcentral.